This 1943-nucleotide long non-coding RNA is filed under the name Homo sapiens (human). Its description in RNAcentral is "lncRNA osteogenesis associated (LNCOG)". Lineage: Eukaryota; Metazoa; Chordata; Mammalia; Primates; Hominidae. The record is from RNAcentral.
GAGCAUUCUGUAGCUGUAUUUUACAGAACUGUAAUUGCACAGAUUGUUCCUCUUACAAGAGAAAUAUCCAGAGCUCUAAGAAAACAACUGAUGAAAACGACAUGCGUGACAUUUGGUGCUGAAGACCCAGGUCAGAGAGACUCCUUUGGGGGACCAGUCCGCUGUCCUUGCCCUCACUCUGUGAGGAGACCCACCUACGACCUCGGGUCCUCAGACCAACCAGCUCAAGGAACAUCUCACCAAUUUCAAAUCGGGACCCCACUGGAAAAUGGACUGUCCAACUCACCCGGCAGCCACUCCCAGAGCCCCUGGAACUCUGGCCCAAGGCUCUCUGACUGACUCCUUCCCAGAUCUUCUCGGCUCAGCAGCUGAAGACUGACACUGCUUGAUUGCCUGGGAAGCCUAUAGGACCAUCACAGACACUUUGGAUAACUCUUACAGUGAAGGACAAAAAAGCGCCACUGCAGGGAGGAAUGCCAGGGUCCCAUAGAGGGAGACCGACAGUGAAGUGGAGCCUGCCAUGAAUUCACCAAAGGCCAUUCUCCCUUUCUUCCAGAAGAACAGCAUUUAGCUGGGCCUAUGGCUACCUACCUAAAGACUGCACCUCUUAGUCACCCUUGUGGCCAGGUGUGGCCACGUGACAGUGGAAUGUAAGUGGAAGUGAUGUAUGCACUUGGGUUCAUUGGUUUAAAAAAAAAUAUGACCGCCCUCCAUUUCCACUCUUUGUCUUAUCUGUGAAUGGGAACAUGGCUGUGUCUGCAGCCCGACUUUGUGCAGCAAAGGACAAGGCCCUAGGGGAAGGUGGAGAAACAAGAUGGAACAACUUGGACCCAACAACUUGGAUCCCUAUGUGGCCAUGUGGAGUCAUCUCACCCACCUGGGCCACUCACCCCGAAGACUGUUGUGUGAGGGUGAAAUAAACUUCUGUAUCACUAGCCCCUGCAUUUCAGAAAUUCUUUGUUAUGGCAGUUUUGCCUUUAUCCUAACACAGACAGCAAAGUAUCUUCUGUGGCCCCAUGACUAAUUUCGUUGUUUAAACUCAUUAUAAAAACUAUAUAAAUAAAAUAUUAAAAAUCAAAUAAAAUAGCAAGAUAACACUGUGUAACUAUCCAGUUUUAGAUGUUAUUACCUUUUUGGCAUAUUUACCUCAUCUAUUUUCUCCAGGGGUUUUUAAAGAAGAGUCAUGCUUGUUAUUUUAAAUUAUCUGCAGUGCUCCUUGGUCUUAUAAAACUAUGGGUUAUUUCAAACUUCGGUAAAUGUCUGAUACACAUGAACUUCUUGCAUUGUUGAGGAAAUCAGAGAAAAAUGAUGCUGUUUUUCCCUUGUAAGUUGACAAUGGAUGGAGAUGAAACCACCUUUGCAAAAUUAUGGCAAUAAGAGAAAUUGGACAUGGCAGACUCCAUCUUGCUUUUAGCCUCACAGGUUGGCUGUCUUGGCUCAUUCCUGGGCAUAAGCCAAGCUAACUUUGGCAGAAAUUGAGUUUAUAGUGUAAACGAUAAUAGCCUUUCCCCAAAACUAAACUACCCUUGUAAAAUUAAUGAAAGGCCACCAAGUUAGGAGGAUGAGAAGGGCCUGAAUGCCUGAAUUCAGCCAUUAUUCUGGAAGUCACAAGAUGUGCAACCUCCCCAGUUACUCCUGUAAAUAACUUCAGUAUUGUAGAACCUAAGAUUGGCCUUUUGACAGCCUUUUGCAUUUCUGACAACUAGAUGGCCCCACGCAGACCCGUGACUCAACCAGUCCUAUAGCCUUCAUCCAAAAAUGGACUCAGUGCAUGAGGACUGUUUUCCACACCCUUAUGAUUGCAUCCCAAACCAAUCAGCAGCACCCAUACCCUAUCCCCUGCACACCAAACUAUCUUUGAGAAACUCCUAACCUCUGAUUCUUUGGUGAGAUUGAUUUAAGUAAUAACUCUGUCUCCCACAUGGCGUGGCUGGCGUCGUGUC